AUGAGUCUUUGCUUAAAGGGCGCUAAAGUUAUGCUCUUUGGCACUGCCCAAGGAUGGGGCCGCGACCGAUCAGGUUGUUGGUGAGGUAAUGGCUCACCAAGCCUUUUACCGGUGCGGGCCGUGAGAGCGGGAGCCCGGAGAUGGGCACUGAGACAAGGGCCCAGGCCCUACGGGGCGCAGCAGUCGCGAAAACUUUGCAAUAAGCGAAAGCUUGACAGGGCUAUCCCGAGUGCCAUCCGCUGAGGAAGGCUUUUACCCAGUCUAGAACGCUGGGGGAAUAAGGAGAGGGCAAGUCUGGUGUCAGCCGCCGCGGUAAUACCAGCUCUCCGAGUGGUGUGGAUGUUUAUUGGGCCUAAAGCAUCCGUAGCUGGCUAAGUUAGUCCCCUGUUAAAUCCACCGAAUUAAUCGUUGGAUUGCGGGGGAUACUGCUUGGCUAGGGGACGAGAGAGGCAGACGGUAUUUCCGGGGUAGGGGUGAAAUCCUAUAAUCCCGGGAAGACCACCAGUGGCGAAGGCUGUCUGCUAGAACGCGCCCGACGGUGAGGGAUGAAAGCCGGGGGAGCGAACCGGAUUAGAUACCCGGGUAGUCCCAGCUGUAAACGAUGCAGACUAGGUGUUUGGACGGCCACGUGCCGUUCUAGUGCCGCAGGGAAGCUGUUA
This 659-nucleotide ribosomal RNA is filed under the name uncultured archaeon. RNAcentral's name for it is "bacterial SSU rRNA". It matches the Rfam family "Archaeal small subunit ribosomal RNA", at positions 175 to 817 of the family's 1478-position model. The record is from RNAcentral.